This 207-nucleotide ribosomal RNA is filed under the name uncultured bacterium. Its description in RNAcentral is "partial 16S ribosomal RNA". It matches the Rfam family "Bacterial small subunit ribosomal RNA", at positions 568 to 774 of the family's 1533-position model. The record is from RNAcentral.
CACGCAGGCGGUUUGUUAAGCUAGAUGUGAAAGCCCCGAGCUCAACUUGGGAUGGUCAUUUAGAACUGGCAGACUAGAGUCUUGGAGAGGGGAGUGGAAUUCCAGGUGUAGCGGUGAAAUGCGUAGAUAUCUGGAGGAACAUCAGUGGCGAAGGCGACUCCCUGGCCAAAGACUGACGCUCAUGUGCGAAAGUGUGGGUAGCGAACA